Molecule: ribosomal RNA, 1746 nt
Filed under: Triticum aestivum (bread wheat)
Lineage: Eukaryota; Viridiplantae; Streptophyta; Magnoliopsida; Poales; Poaceae
Description: partial small subunit ribosomal RNA
Source: RNAcentral
AUGGCGUUGCUACGAGCCAGCCAGCCAGCGACGGUGCUACAAGGUUGCCAUGCUGCUAUGUCGCGUCGAUGGCCGGCGAUGCUACAACAAUGGAGCACCGGGUGGGCUGGUCACGGUCCUCUGCUGCAUGCAUCAGUUGGCUGCUGCAACGGAGCGUCCCCCGGCCGCCGGAGCAUCAUAGGAAAUCGACAUUGCAAUGGAGCUAGCAUCGCUGGGCCAUCGGAGCAUCGUUGGUGCUGCAGCGAAGCAUCGCGACACUACACUGGAGCGUCGCUGAGCCAUCGGAGCAUCGUUGGUGCUGCAGCGAAGCAUCACGACACUGCAAUGGAGCGUCGCCCGGCCACUAGAGCAUCGCAGCACUGCAAUGGAGCGUCACUAGGCCACCGGAGCAUCGUCGGGCCGCCGGAGCAUCGUCCGCGCUGCAAUGGAACAUCGUCGGUCCGCCGAAGCAUCGUCGACCCUUCAACGAAGCAUCAUCGGUGUUGCAAUGGGGCAUUGUCGGGCCGCGGCAGCGUCGUUGCUGGUGCUGCAAUCCCGGAGCUUGCCAGUGCUGUAGCCAUGGCCGUGCGGGUGUUACAUGCAAAAUUUGGUGCUGCAAGUCGGCUAGCUGCGGUUCUCGCUGGAGCUAUUCGUAUCACCACGGAAGCGAGAACCUGCGUUGCUCACACCGGCGGCUCGAGACUGGAGUGGCUGCUGGGGAGACAAGCACGUAGCAUAAAGAACAGAGACCUCCUCGCCCGAGCCUUAUGCGCCAGUAGACAAAACCAGCGAUCACAUGGCUGUCUACGUGGGCCGGCCCGAGAACGAGCGGACGAGCUCGCGCACGACGCGUGCUUCCCCGUUUUCCUUGCUCGACCGUUUCGAUCGCUAAAGAAAGCUCGAUCGCUUCGUGUACACAGCCCAGCCCGGGAACAGAGUCCGCCCGGCCCACACCGGCCCAGCACGCACGCACGCGGUGGAUACGAAACCCCAAAGCCCUCGCGCCUCCUCCACCUCCACUCGACAUGCAGCCGCCACCUCCGGCCGCCGCCGACGAUGAGGGUGAAGAGGCGGUCGAGGCACCGCAAGGUGGUAAAGUUCUACUCCACCUGCUUCGGUUUCCGCGAGCCCUACAAGGUGCUCGUCGACGGCACCUUCGUGCACCACCUCCUCGUCCACCAACUGCUCCCGGCCGACGACGCACUCCGCGAGCUCCUCUCCGCCGCCCGGCCGCCCCCGCUCUUCACCUCCAAGUGCGUCCAGGUCGAGCUCCGCCGCCUCGGCAAGUCCUACUCCCUGGCCUUCGACGCCGCCCAGCUCCUCGCCGCCGCCAGUCUUGAAAUUCUACAUGACAAAGUGGUCAGUGCUGUGGACUGUAUCCUGUCCCUGGUUGGUGAUAAGAAUCCGGAGCACUACUUUGUCGCCACCCAGGAUUCUGGUCUCCGGGCAAAGCUACGAGAGGUUCCUUGUGUUCCUGUGAUAUACGGUCUGAAGAACUCCCUGUUUGUUGAGCAACCCUCCGUGCAGCAACGAUAUUCGUCAUAUGCACGUUUAGUGGGCAUCACUAACAUUUGGAGUUAUGAGAAGCCGAUGUGUGUCCUUCUGCAGGGCCCAAACCCACUCUCUUGCAAGAAAAAGAAACCGAAGCCCCAACCGUCAGCUGCUCAAAAUCAGGGUCCUAAGGCUGAUGGUGAGGCGAAGAGGAAGAGGGUUAGGAAGCGCAAGAGAAGCGACAAAGACAGCACUCAAGCGGAGACAGCGAGCUGA